RNAcentral lists this ribosomal RNA (600 nucleotides) under Stenotrophomonas maltophilia. Its description in RNAcentral is "bacterial SSU rRNA". It matches the Rfam family "Bacterial small subunit ribosomal RNA", at positions 29 to 619 of the family's 1533-position model. The record is from RNAcentral. Lineage: Bacteria; Pseudomonadati; Pseudomonadota; Gammaproteobacteria; Lysobacterales; Lysobacteraceae.
GUGACGCUGGCGGUAGGCCUAGCACAUGCAAGUCGAACGGCAGCACAGGAGAGCUUGCUCUCUGGGUGGCGAGUGGCGGACGGGUGAGGAAUACAUCGGAAUCUACUCUGUCGUGGGGGAUAACGUAGGGAAACUUACGCUAAUACCGCAUACGACCUACGGGUGAAAGCAGGGGACCUUCGGGCCUUGCGCGAUUGAAUGAGCCGAUGUCGGAUUAGCUAGUUGGCGGGGUAAAGGCCCACCAAGGCGACGAUCCGUAGCUGGUCUGAGAGGAUGAUCAGCCACACUGGAACUGAGACACGGUCCAGACUCCUACGGGAGGCAGCAGUGGGGAAUAUUGGACAAUGGGCGCAAGCCUGAUCCAGCCAUACCGCGUGGGUGAAGAAGGCCUUCGGGUUGUAAAGCCCUUUUGUUGGGAAAGAAAUCCAGCUGGCUAGUACCCGGUUGGGAUGACGGUACCCAAAGAAUAAGCACCGGCUAACUUCGUGCCAGCAGCCGCGGUAAUACGAAGGGUGCAAGCGUUACUCGGAAUUACUGGGCGUAAAGCGUGCGUAGGUGGUUAUUUACGUCCGUUGCGAAAGCCCUGGGCUCUGCCUGCGA